RNA transcript from Brassica oleracea var. oleracea, 3081 nucleotides. It is a transcript of the gene named transcription factor GTE4-like, with no coding region annotated. The transcript has 6 exons. The record is from RefSeq and is a predicted model, not a curated record. NCBI's taxonomy places the organism in Eukaryota, Viridiplantae, Streptophyta, Magnoliopsida, Brassicales, Brassicaceae.
GCCCAACCGUAGAAAGCUCCGGGUCGGGUACGAAAAAGCAAAUCCAAACGCGGGUUGUUCUUCCUCUCUCUCUCUCUCACUCGGCGGCGCCUUCUCUAUCCCAAAAUCGCAGGUUUGAGUCGAUCUCGAAGCACAUAGAUUCAAUUGACCUAAUUGUCUCCGUUCUCAUCAAAAAAACCUAAACCCAGGUCACUCUGCGAUUCUUAUCCCCUCGUUGCGUCGAACCUAACCUUUCCCAGUAUCAAACUCUGCACGCUCUCAGAACCGAUUGAACGAAGGUUUCGUCUUGAAAUUAGGGUUCCUCAUGGUGGAUGAUAUUGUCCCUUGGGUUUCUGCUAGAUUUAACCCAGAGAUGUGAAGAAAGGCCUCAAAUUUAGUUUUUUUUUUUUUUUUUAUAUGGCUUCGGAGCCUGUUGACGAUGGAGGAAGAGAGAAGCAGAGCAUUAGAGUUUACACGAGGAAAGGUAAAGGUCAGAGUAAACAGUCGCCUUUCUUCGCCUUUGCCGCCGAUGAAAUUAGGAAAGCAAACAAUCGUCGUGUGAAUCCUCCCGAAACUCUAGCUCGAGAGUCUUCGGAUCCUAUAGCUGUAGAAAAGACUGCUCUUGAGACCAAGUCGCGGGACGACGCUGGGGCCAGUGUAGCUAAAGUGAUUGAUAAGCCUCUCGUGGAAGCAUUUCGUGAUGAUGAUGAUGCCAGUUUGGCCGCUGCUGAUAAGAGCGUUAUUCAAACUGUACCAGGUCCUUUGGUUCAGGAUGAUGCGAAUACUAUUGUAGACGAUGUCAAUACAGUGGUUGUCGAUGAGAACUCUAUAAAGGAACCUUCUGAAAGCCUUGCACGAGAAGAAGAUGUUACUACCGUGGUUGUUGACAAGAAGGCUAUUGAAGCUCAUUCUCAAACUCUAUCCGUGGAAGAUAUCAAUGUUGUUGACAAGAAUCCCAUUGAAGUGUCUUCUGAAAACGUGGUGGAUGGAGUAAAAGAAGGUCAUCCUGAAAACCUUCCUGAAAGAGAUGCCCAACAGCCAGCAGGGGUUACCUCUGAUUCUGCUGGUGACAGCAUGCCAAUGGAGGAGGACGUAGAUGGACGCGUAAAGAUACACGUUGCCUCCAAAUCGAAGCAACAGAAAGAGGAGAUUAGGAAGACGCUUGAAGAUCAGCUUAACGUGGUCAGAGGUCUGGUAAAGAAGAUAGAGGAUAAAGAGGGCGGCGAGAUUGGUGCGUAUGACGACUCUCGUCUCUUGGCUAACACUGGUAUUACUAACGGAGGAGGAAGGAUUCUCUCAGGUUUUUCGUCAGCUGGACUUCCUCGUGAGGUCAUCAGAACACCAAGGCCUUUAAAUCAACUAAGUAUAUCCGUGUUAGAGAAUACUCAGGGGUUCAGUGAGCAUGUGGAGAAAGAGAAAAGAACACCCAAGGCAAAUCAGUUUUAUAGAACUUCAGAGUUCUUACUUGGUGACAAGUUGCCACCCACAGAGAGUAACAAGAAAUCAAAGUCAAAAUCAAAUGCAAAGAAGCACGGAGGGGAGGUUGGUCAUGGUUUGGGUGCAGGGUCUAAAGUUUUCAAGAGUUGCAGUGCUCUACUUGAAAGGCUGAUGAAGCAUAAGCAUGGUUGGGUGUUCAAUGCUCCUGUAGAUGUGAAGGCUCUAGGUUUGCAUGAUUACUUUACGAUUAUCGAGCACCCUAUGGAUUUGGGAACUGUAAAGUCUGCAUUAACAAGAAAUGUGUACGAGUCACCAAGAGAAUUUGCAGAGGAUGUUAGACUUACUUUCCACAAUGCCAUGACUUACAAUCCACCGGGACAGGAUGUCCAUAUCAUGGCGCAAGUGCUAUUACAGAUGUUUGAGGAGAGAUGGGCUGUCAUAGAGGCAGACUAUAAUCGUCAAAUGAGAUUUCUCACUAGUUAUGAGAUGAAUCUUCCAGCUUCUGCAAUGAGGUCUAGACUGGGUCCUACGAUGCCACCACCACCUAUUAAUGUGAGGAAUACAAUAGAUAGAGCAGACUGGAGUAGUCAUCAUCCAAAGCCAACAACAACGCCUGGCAGAACACCGAUCAGCACAACACCUUCUGGAAGGACACCUGCUCUGAAGAAGCCAAAGGCAAACGAACCAAAUAAAAGGGAUAUGACGUAUGAAGAGAAGCAGAAGCUUAGUGGCCAUUUGCAGAAUCUGCCUCCAGACAAACUAGAUGCAAUUGUGCAAAUUGUGAACAAGAGGAACACUGCUGUGAAGCUACAGGAUGAAGAAAUUGAAGUCGAUAUAGAUAGUGUUGAUCCGGAGACCCUGUGGGAGUUGGACAGAUUUGUAAUCAACUACAAAAAGGGUUUGAGCAAGAAAAAGAGAAAAGCCGAGCUAGCGAAUCAAGCUAGAGCAGAGGCCGAGAGGAAUGGCCAACAACAUAUGGCUCCAGCACCAGUGGCAUGUGAGUUUUCUAGGGAGGGUGGAAACACAGCUAAAAAGACACUCCCUACACCAUUACCUUCUCAAGUGGAGAAGCAAAACAAUGAGACAAGCAGAUCAAGUAGUUCAAGCAGCUCCUCCAGUAGUUCCAGCUCUUCUAGUGAUUCGGACAGCGAUAGCUCUUCGUCAUCUGGAUCAGAUCAGACUUAGAGACUGGACAAGAGAUUUGGUGUUGACAAAAAUGUAAGGUACAUGUGUUUCCUGGAUAGCACAUGUGUUAAUGGAAUCUUUUCAACGUGAAACAGGGCGUUUAAAAAGAUGGGGAAGAUAGCGUUAGAAGAGCAUAUGAGAGGCUAAGGAUGAUGUGACGUACAGGCUUGAGGCAGAAAUAUUAUACAGUAGUUGGGUUUGGAAGGAAAGAUUGUAUUGUAUUCGUAGAAUAAAUAUAUUUUUGAUUUUGGUUUUUAGAAUUGGUAGGAUGAUGUGGCUAUCUCUACUUUUAGAUGUAACCGUAGGAGGGUUGGUCUGGUCUGUUUCGGCACUUUUGUAUAUCUUUGCCUCUCUCUGUUCUGGUCUUGAGCAGAUUAGUUUGGUUGACUAGGUUCAUGUUUGUUUUAGUCAGGGCUUUUGAAUCAGAAAAUAUCAUCACAACAGAUUCUUGAUGACUAGUGUAUUUGUAAGCUUGUGACA